GACGAACGCUGGCGGCGUGCCUAAUACAUGCAAGUCGAACGCUUCUUUCCUCCCGAGUGCUUGCACUCAAUUGGAAAGAGGAGUGGCGGACGGGUGAGUAACACGUGGGUAACCUACCCAUCAGAGGGGGAUAACACUUGGAAACAGGUGCUAAUACCGCAUAACAGUUUAUGCCGCAUGGCAUAAGAGUGAAAGGCGCUUUCGGGUGUCGCUGAUGGAUGGACCCGCGGUGCAUUAGCUAGUUGGUGAGGUAACGGCUCACCAAGGCCACGAUGCAUAGCCGACCUGAGAGGGUGAUCGGCCACACUGGGACUGAGACACGGCCCAGACUCCUACGGGAGGCAGCAGUAGGGAAUCUUCGGCAAUGGACGAAAGUCUGACCGAGCAACGCCGCGUGAGUGAAGAAGGUUUUCGGAUCGUAAAACUCUGUUGUUAGAGAAGAACAAGGACGUUAGUAACUGAACGUCCCCUGA
RNAcentral lists this ribosomal RNA (473 nucleotides) under Enterococcus faecalis. RNAcentral's name for it is "bacterial SSU rRNA". It matches the Rfam family "Bacterial small subunit ribosomal RNA", at positions 28 to 472 of the family's 1533-position model. Lineage: Bacteria; Bacillati; Bacillota; Bacilli; Lactobacillales; Enterococcaceae. The record is from RNAcentral.